Oryzias melastigma (Indian medaka) is the source of this 494-nucleotide long non-coding RNA. RefSeq lists it as uncharacterized. The transcript has 2 exons. The record is from RefSeq and is a predicted model, not a curated record. NCBI's taxonomy places the organism in Eukaryota, Metazoa, Chordata, Actinopteri, Beloniformes, Adrianichthyidae.
CACUUUUCUAGAUCUUGGCUGCUGAGGAAACCGUCGACAUCCUCCUGCAGAGUGACAGCAAAUCAUCAUCCAGCUCUCAGGAGUGACCCGGGUUAUGACACUUUACCUCAAACUGGUGCCACCUCCCACAGUCAGCCAGGUGUCUCUCGAAAUGCUGAAACAGAAACCACUCCUACUGAGAGGGCCGGCUUCCACUCAUGAUUCAGUCCUCCUCUCGGAUUACAAUAAAAAGUUGACACAGGGUGCGACCUUUGAGUUUCACUGCAGCUCUGAAACAAGGAUAUUUAUUUUUAUUCUUGCAUCGGCUGAAGGAACACAGGAGCAGCUUAAAGUUUCAAAAUGCAUUUCCUGUUCACCAACUCUACAUGGCGACUUCUUAAAGAUCUGCACAAGAAGGUCCAAAAGACACAGAAAAGCAAUAAACACUGGAUGGUGGGCUAAAGUACACAUGUGCUGGCAACUUUCUUUUUCAAAUGUAUACAUAGUAAAAAAAA